This 626-nucleotide ribosomal RNA is filed under the name uncultured bacterium. RNAcentral's name for it is "bacterial SSU rRNA". It matches the Rfam family "Bacterial small subunit ribosomal RNA", at positions 60 to 732 of the family's 1533-position model. The record is from RNAcentral.
AGUCGAGCGGGCCUUUCGGGGUCAGCGGCGGACGGGUGAGUAACGCGUGGGAACGUGCCCUCUGGUUCGGAAUAACUCAGGGAAACUUGAGCUAAUACCGGAUACGCCCUUUUGGGGAAAGGCUUGCUGCCGGAGGAUCGGCCCGCGUCUGAUUAGCUAGUUGGUGAGGUAACGGCUCACCAAGGCGACGAUCAGUAGCUGGUCUGAGAGGAUGAUCAGCCACACUGGGACUGAGACACGGCCCAGACUCCUACGGGAGGCAGCAGUGGGGAAUAUUGGACAAUGGGCGCAAGCCUGAUCCAGCCAUGCCGCGUGAGUGAUGAAGGCCUUAGGGUUGUAAAGCUCUUUUAUCCGGGACGAUAAUGACGGUACCGGAGGAAUAAGCCCCGGCUAACUUCGUGCCAGCAGCCGCGGUAAUACGAAGGGGGCUAGCGUUGCUCGGAAUCACUGGGCGUAAAGGGCGCGUAGGCGGCGUUUUAAGUCGGGGGUGAAAGCCUGUGGCUCAACCACAGAAUGGCCUUCGAUACUGGGACGCUUGAGUAUGGUAGAGGUUGGUGGAACUGCGAGUGUAGAGGUGAAAUUCGUAGAUAUUCGCAAGAACACCGGUGGCGAACGCGGCCAACUGG